This 465-nucleotide ribosomal RNA is filed under the name uncultured bacterium. RNAcentral describes it as "partial 16S ribosomal RNA". It matches the Rfam family "Bacterial small subunit ribosomal RNA", at positions 28 to 507 of the family's 1533-position model. The record is from RNAcentral.
GACGAACGCUGGCGGCGUGCUUAACACAUGCAAGUCGUACGGUAAGGCCCUUUCGGGGGUCCACGAGUGGCGAACGGGUGAGUAACACGUGAGUAACCUGCCCACAACUUUGGGAUAACGCUAGGAAACUGGUGCUAAUACUGGAUAUGUGCUCCUGCUGCAUGGUGGGGGUUGGAAAGCUCCGGCGGUUGUGGAUGGACUCGCGGCCUAUCAGCUUGUUGGUGGGGUAGUGGCCUACCAAGGCGGCGACGGGUAGCCGGCCUGAGAGGGUGACCGGCCACAUUGGGACUGAGAUACGGCCCAGACUCCUACGGGAGGCAGCAGUGGGGAAUAUUGCACAAUGGGCGCAAGCCUGAUGCAGCAACGCCGCGUGCGGGAUAACGGCCUUCGGGUUGUAAACCGCUUUCAGCAGGGACGAAGCUUUUUGUGACGGUACCUGCAGAAGAAGCACCGGCUAACUACGUG